This 90-nucleotide ribosomal RNA is filed under the name Anna mollifolia. RNAcentral's name for it is "partial 5.8S ribosomal RNA". It matches the Rfam family "5.8S ribosomal RNA", at positions 70 to 154 of the family's 154-position model. From Rfam's summary of the family: 5.8S ribosomal RNA (5.8S rRNA) is a component of the large subunit of the eukaryotic ribosome. It is transcribed by RNA polymerase I as part of the 45S precursor that also contains 18S and 28S rRNA. Lineage: Eukaryota; Viridiplantae; Streptophyta; Magnoliopsida; Lamiales; Gesneriaceae. The record is from RNAcentral.
AAUUGCAGAAUCCCGUGAACCAUCGAGUCUUUGAACGCAAGUUGCGCCCGAAGCCAUCUGGCCGAGGGCACGUCUGCCUGGGCGUCACGC